CAGCAGCCACGGGAAUGCGUAGGUGGCAAGCGUUGUCCGGAAUUAUUGGGCGUAAAGCGCGCGCAGGUGGUUUAAUAAGUCUGAUGUGAAAGCCCACGGCUCAACCGUGGAGGGUCAUUGGAAACUGUUAAACUUGAGUGCAGGAGAGAAAAGUGGAAUUCCUAGUGUAGCGGUGAAAUGCGUAGAGAUUAGGAGGAACACCAGUGGCGAAGGCGGCUUUUUGGCCUGUAACUGACACUGAGGCGCGAAAGCGUGGGGAGCAAACAGGAUUAGAUACCCCAGUAGUCCCUGUCUCUUAUAC
Molecule: ribosomal RNA, 301 nt
Filed under: uncultured bacterium
Lineage: Bacteria
Description: partial 16S ribosomal RNA
Rfam family: Bacterial small subunit ribosomal RNA
Source: RNAcentral